This 29-nucleotide non-coding RNA is filed under the name Cricetulus griseus (Chinese hamster). The record is from RNAcentral. Lineage: Eukaryota; Metazoa; Chordata; Mammalia; Rodentia; Cricetidae.
AUUGAGAAGCUUGGAUCUAAAGACAGAUA